CGUGUAGGCGGCUAGAUAAGUCUGGAGUGAAAGUCCUGCUUUCAAGGUGGGAAUUGCUUUGGAAACUGAAUAGCUUGAGUGCGGAAGAGGUAAGUGGAAUUCCCAGUGUAGCGGUGAAAUGCGUAGAGAUUGGGAGGAACACCAGUGGCGAAGGCGACUUACUGGGCCGUAACUGACGCUGAGGCGCGAAAGCGUGGGGAGCGAAUA
This 207-nucleotide ribosomal RNA is filed under the name uncultured bacterium. Its description in RNAcentral is "partial 16S ribosomal RNA". It matches the Rfam family "Bacterial small subunit ribosomal RNA", at positions 568 to 774 of the family's 1533-position model. The record is from RNAcentral.